Molecule: long non-coding RNA, 549 nt
Organism: Hippopotamus amphibius kiboko
Lineage: Eukaryota; Metazoa; Chordata; Mammalia; Artiodactyla; Hippopotamidae
Exons: 3
Source: RefSeq, a predicted model, not a curated record
GUUUCAUGUGCGGUUCUUCUUUUUUUCUCCUGCCUGUACAUUCUUCUGCAAUUUUUUAAAAAUUCCUUUCCUCUGUGUUGCCCAUCCCUUCCGUCUUCCAUUCCUCCCAGUUUUCCUAUUCCCCUUUCUUUCUCCCUGUCUUUUAUUCCACACUACUCUUUUGACAAAACACGAACUGGAGGUAAAACUCUAGCUCUGCAACUUCUGUCUGCUAAACCUUCGCUGGGUAAACCUGCAUUAUAUAGAUGCAUUGUAGGGGUUUCUGAGGGAGGCUCCCCCAGAUGUUGCAUUUUUUGCAUAAGGAUUAUUUUGUGCUAAAGGCAACUGAAAUCUGACCUGCCAGAAGAACAUAGGAGGUUUCCUAGAGGAAAGUUUUCUUCCUCCCCAACAAUAUACACUACAGUAAGUUCCCUACAUACGAACCUUCAAGUUUCGAACUUUCAAAGAUGUGAACGUGUGUGCCAGCCCCUGUAUGCCUGCUGUACUUUUCAAGGUCUGGCACCAUAGAGUCUUACCAUUAUAAUGCAAAAGGCAGUGCACAGUCCUAGC